This 30-nucleotide non-coding RNA is filed under the name Homo sapiens (human). The record is from RNAcentral. Lineage: Eukaryota; Metazoa; Chordata; Mammalia; Primates; Hominidae.
UAAAGGUGUCUGCAACAUUGGAUGAGGAGU